This 20-nucleotide ribosomal RNA is filed under the name Tenuiphantes tenuis. Its description in RNAcentral is "partial 5.8S ribosomal RNA". The record is from RNAcentral. Lineage: Eukaryota; Metazoa; Arthropoda; Arachnida; Araneae; Linyphiidae.
GGAUCGAUGAAGACCGCAGC